GGCAAACUGCAGAAAAUCGUCACCCUGCCAUAUCCAGGUGCAACAACUGAGUCUACAGACACAAAAAAAACUGUUUUGUUGUUGACGUCAUUGGCUACACUGCAGAUAGACGAUCAGCAGGAGGGAACAGAGGAGAAGACCGGUGUGUGCCACCAUCGUUGACAUCGGCGACGGACAAAAAUCCAUGAGCGGCUUGUGUUUCCAUGGCAACACCUAAGGGCUGGGAUGAGGCUAC
Molecule: long non-coding RNA, 235 nt
Organism: Solea senegalensis (Senegalese sole)
Lineage: Eukaryota; Metazoa; Chordata; Actinopteri; Pleuronectiformes; Soleidae
Exons: 4
Source: RefSeq, a predicted model, not a curated record